UCCUCCGUGGUGUAAUCGUGCAGCACAACAGUCUCUUAAUCUGUUAGGUCAGGGUUCGAAUCCCUGCGGGGGGACCA
This 77-nucleotide transfer RNA is filed under the name Gammaproteobacteria bacterium. RNAcentral describes it as "tRNA-Lys". It matches the Rfam family "tRNA". Rfam says of the family: Transfer RNA (tRNA) molecules are approximately 80 nucleotides in length. Lineage: Bacteria; Pseudomonadati; Pseudomonadota; Gammaproteobacteria. The record is from RNAcentral.